UGAGGGAUGAAGAGAGCAGGAAGAUUAAUGUCAUAUUGGAGUCGGACUGCAGAGCUUCUUUUACACUAUAAAUAUUGUAUGAAGUGCUGAUGUAACCUUUACCGCAGCAUGACAUGGGAUUUGGCUGUUUUUAUGGCUC
Cercocebus atys (sooty mangabey) is the source of this 139-nucleotide microRNA precursor. NCBI's taxonomy places the organism in Eukaryota, Metazoa, Chordata, Mammalia, Primates, Cercopithecidae. The record is from Ensembl.